RNAcentral lists this long non-coding RNA (20187 nucleotides) under Eucalyptus grandis. RNAcentral describes it as "long non-coding RNA (EGRA_LNC004602)". Lineage: Eukaryota; Viridiplantae; Streptophyta; Magnoliopsida; Myrtales; Myrtaceae. The record is from RNAcentral.
UACAUCAAUAGGUUACUUUGUUUUGUUUAGUGAAAGUAUGUAGUCAUGUGGAGAGGUGUUUGACGAUUAUAGCAUUCUUAAUUAAAGAGAACCGUGUUUUGCUGGACUUUGCAGUGGUGCCCAUCUCAGACGUAAUAAGGGUUCACACAGGUAAUAUGUCAAUUGCCUAGUGACUUAAUGAAGAACAUAUACUAUCUGCUUGUUCCAGAAACACCCUAACAAAGCUGAUGUUCAGUUGAGCAUGGAGACAAGGGCGAGAGGAUGAGUGGAGGCCGGGCCAACAUGUUCUCGACUUCCUAACCUCUACAGGUUGUAGAUCCUUCAGUAAAGCUCUAGUUAGCAUCCAUUACCCGAUUCACUCCCUGUAAAAGUUUCUGAAAAUUUAUCUGUGUUUGAAGAGUUUACUGUCAACACUAGUCGUGUCUGAGUCGUAGGACCAUGGUUGAUUAGGUUGAUUAGACGGUCCAAGAGGAAGAAUAUGCGAUGCCUUGUCUGAAGGAGUGCUGUCAUUUACCUUGGCUGCUGAGGGCCAUAAGGCAUCAAUUAAGCAUUGCUAAUAUUUUCCUGUAAUGUCACCCAUGAAAUGAAAAUUUAGCAAGUGAAACUCAGUGGGAUUAUUGUCUUUAAAGCACUCAUUAAUAUGCGCGCUCACAGAACAUCAGGUGCUUCUUACACAUCAAGAUAUGUGUCCAUGUAAUGGACGUAGCAAGAAACAGACUGUAGCAAGACGUGGAUUCAUGAAGCUCCAUAGGAGACAAGUGAUGGCAUUGCUCUGUCAACUUCGCCGAUACUUUUUAGGAACAUGGUUCCCCUAUCCAGUAUCAUAAAGUGCUUCCGGGUGAGUGUCGUAUCACUCCAUCCAAACCGUUAGCGCAUGCCUUGUUUACGUGCAUGGGGUCAAGGUAUGGGAUAGAGGUUCUGAUAUUGCUAGUAUGAGUACCUAGAGGGGGGUGAAUAGGUAUAUAAAGAAUUUUUCUCAAGCAAUUGCACAAUACUAGACAGUUGGAGGAAACGAUAAUCAAAGUAAGACUGAGAGAAGAGAAAAUUUAACACGCGGUUUAUAGUGGUUCGGCUUAUAUCAAGCCUACAUCCACUCUUCUUCACUGACAGCCUAUUGGCUGGAUUCCACUAUGAACAAGAAAGAGGUUACAGCACAGCUUUGCCUUGAUUCCACAGUGUAGAUGUUCUACCAUACCUCCUCAAGAUUUCUCACAAAUAUAGACUCUCUUUCGUAUACAAGUAUUCGCUCAAAGGAUUUGUCUAAACAAAAAGGAGCUUCAGACUUUGGAAUUCUUCUAUCGCGCACACCUUGAACAACUAAGACAGUCUUCCUUAUAUACUCCUUUAUGCCAUCAUACCCGUUGGCACUUACCAAAGGAAUUCCUCCAAUCUACCCGUUGGACGGAAUCAAUUAGGAAGAUUGUCCAAGCUAUUAAUGGAACGUGUUGAUAGCCCAUCAAUCAUGUUCGCCCAUACAAUCAGGAUCUCGGUUUCCAUAAGCAGAACCUUUCCAAUAAUAUUUAGGCAAUCACCGGAUCUUCAAUUAUCGAAUCAAUCUUCGAUCAAUCGAAGGACUCCGUUUAUGUCUUCUCCAGCCAUGAGAUCUUCUCCAGUUGAUAAGGUUAAAUCCUCAACGAAACAUCCAGUUCUGGAUAACCUUUCUUCAACGGAUUAGAGACUGUCAAUGAGGAUAGACUUUGAGUCUUGAGUCUGGCUGUCCCAAGGUCUUCAGACUUUAAAUAGCAGAGUCUGCAAACCUUCAGACUAGACUGAUAGAAACGAUUUGUCAACUUCAAAACACUUCAAGAAGAUUUCUCCAACAGGUUCUACAUGCAUGGGGCCGGGAUAAAGGUUCUUCAUCCAUGAUUUAGACAUCGUACUUGCUUGCAAUUCAAUUGCACUCUCGCUACCAAAAUGAUUUAAAAAAGGUAAUUAUCUGUCUAAGUAUGAAAGAUCAAUAGAAAAACAGGAGCAAGUUAUCUAAAUCCAAAGGCAAUGCUUUAAGCAUUAGCAUGUUUUUAAUAUGCUUAGCAUUCUUGAGGCGAAACAUUGGAUAGAAUAUGUAGCACAACCUCACUCAGCCUAUUCUGAAUUUAAAAAAUGGGGAUCCUCAUAUUAUAUAAGCCGAGAUGGAACUUAGAAAGUGACAUAAAGAGACCAAAAAAAAUCGAAAGAAUAUGACCUAUCAGAUGUAAUUGGUUUUGGCAAGUGGUUUUAUGCCUUCAGAAUAUUGUGGCGCUUUAUGCAUAUAGAACGCCAAGGUAUAUCCAAAUACACACUCUAGUUUUUAUUUUUUACUUUAUCUAAACCAUGUAAUUGAUGCUUUUCAGUAUUCCUUUUAUUUUCAUGGCGUAUCAAUAUGUACACGUAAAUUCACAUGAUAGAAGUAACCAUCACGAGGAAGUCUCUGAUUCUAUGAGAAAAGAAGGGGAAGAAAAGAGGAGAUGAUGAGGCCGAGCCAGAGUGAAAACGCCAUUGUAUGACAACACGUUUCGCUGUUCAAAAGAAUGGUCACGAUGGACCACGGUGACAUGGCGAAGAAAACGAAAAACGACAUUAACUGUCCUCAAGCCAAAAGUGAUCUAUUUUACCAUUUAUUCGAAGAGACUUACUUGCAAAACCUUUUCCUCUUGACACACUUUCACACUUGCAUUAUGUAAUUUACAUGGCCGAUCUCUUGUUAGGACCAGAGGCAAGGUUCCCUGUAGAUACGCCGGGCCUCUUCCUCGGCCGCCAUAUCCAAUUCUUGUAGUCUAGAGCCUUGUCCUCAUAGAUAUCCCACCACUUCUUGACCCAAAUCUUGAUGCCUUCUCUCUGCAUGUUGCCUGUGUUCUCUUGCCAAGUGUACAUCCAUGGCUUCGAACCCUGAAAAAUGAGAUUCUAAUAAUCAGCAAUCUAUCAUACUGAACAGGCAUGUCAGCAAUUAAAAGAUGUAUAUGCAUUGUGUAAGGAAGUGGGCAAAUUGCACAUGUAUCGAUCACUCACCGCCUCGCAAUAGUGGACGACCUUCACCUCCUCAAGGUCCACCUUCUCCGGGUGAUGCCAUAGCAUCGAAAGGGGAAGGUUGUACUCAAGAGGGAGAGGCUUGUAUAUGUGCCUGAAGUACAUAUUCAAGAAAUCCUGCAACUUGCCAAAAUCAAUCCAUUGGGUGACGUUCCGGGCCAUUAUCAAGCAUUGAAAUGGUGCGCAGUGUAACAUACAACAUACCUGCUGGGCGAAUGGAGUGGGAGGGGUGGUUCGAAGAGUGUUCAAGAGGUCGUUGUAGGCGGUGAGAUUGGGCUCGAACACGAACAUGCUGUCAUCGAAGUAGGGGGACGGGGGCGGGCCCAUGUCGUCUCGCCACUGGACCUUGUCAGGGCAUUGCUGGCAGUAACCAAUCGCGUACUGGGGGGUGUGGCUCCAUGUCCUCUCGCAGAAGCAAUCCAGCACGGCGUAGAAGUGGCCGUCCUCCAUGUUGAAAGAGGUGGUCGAUGUUCUCGUUCACCUGUAUGCUGCCAUCCAGGUAUACCAUCUUGCUGUACUGCACAAACUGCGUAGCAUAAAACAUUUUUAGUACCCAAAAACAGACGAGACUUUAUAACGAGUUCAUGUUUCAAACUACUCGCUUCAUCACUUAAUUCGUCAUAUCACCACGUUAAAACAUCAUAAAAGUGCGAAGGGGGACUCAAUUAUGAAAUUAAUCUAUGAAAUGAAGAUCUUGAACUAUCGGGUGGGUCACUUUUCAAUCAUUAAUAGGAGAAGCCCCGAAUGAAUCCGUCCUUGUACCUCCCAAACACCGAGCUUGGAGUAGUUGAUGAAGUAAUCCGCCAUUGCAAACGGGGUCUGGUUCCCUUGCGGGCACACUGGCUUGAUCUUCCGGACCCUGCAGCCCUGCUCCUUCAGAAUGCGCUGGUGAUCCACCGGCACGUCUGGCAAGACAGCCACCACCAACGGGUACGUCGACUUCACCUUCCUCAACCCCUUGACCAGCCCGACCACGCCCUGCACUGAGUCACCUUUGCCGGCCACGAACGUCACGUAGGCCCGGGACCAAGUCGGGGCGGGCUUGGUGGGAGCUGCGGGGUUUGCCGAGGCGCCAACAACUUUGGGCACUUCAGGGACGCCGACAACUUAAGGCACUUCGGGCAGCCGAGAGGUCGUGGUGGGCUUGGCAGGAGCCGCAGGGUUCGUCGAGGCACGGACAACUUCGGGCGCCAUAGAGUGGUGGGAAGGCGGUGGAGCUCCCGUACAGAGCCGAGAGAGAGAGAGAGAGAGAGAAAAGGGGGGCGGGGGGCAAGCGGAUCAAUGCGAUGCCUAUGGCAUAAAGAAAUGUGGCUUAGGUGAAUAAAUAGAGGAGUCGGCCAAUAUAAUUUUAUUAAGCUGCAAUUUUACGAAUGCCGGACGGUGGUACACGUGUUGGAUUUGGUGAUCUGACUGUAGAGGAUGAAGCGGUCAGUGAUAGCCGGGAGCCGGAUGACUUGAGCAAGUGACUGUCCAAUAGCAACACACGCUAAAACAAAUAUACAUUUUAGAGUAUUAAUCCGUGAUUCCAAACGCGGAAAUGAAUCAAUGUGGCGGUACGCGUGGUGGGGAUCUGACUUUAGAGGUUUUCGCCACGGACGGGUUUCAACUAAUGUCUGAUUCGUCUGGACGGACAUCCAAUAGAGCAACCUACCGGAGUUUCCGUCCCAUUAAUGAGAGUAUUUUUUUUUUAACAAAUUAAGAUUGGAUUUUUGUACCCGUGAUCCGACGAAUGCCAAAUUAUAGAGAAACGGUGGUUGGAGAGACUUUAGAAAUUUUUUAAUUAAAAAUUACAUUGCGAGCUUUACCCUACACAACGGUCUAGUUCAAAUAGUCAAAUCUUGACGUGGAAUCGUAAAUAAAGCCAAUAAAAGACCCAAUCCUGUCAAUUCCAGAUAACAUAAUUCCAUCAAAUUGUAAUUUCACUCUUUGAAGUUUCCAGUCUACAUCUUGGAGAAAUCUUGUCUUCCAUCCUGUUCCCUUCGCUGCGUAUUCUCCUCCGACGGCAACGUUCGAUUGGUGAAAGGUUCGUCACGAUCUUAUUCAAACAUACAAACAGAUAAAAAAAAUUAUUACGACACUUUUAUCGGUAGAUUAAUCGCGUUCUCAGUCAAUUAUAUUGGUAUUAGAAUUAGAAUUCACCCACCACAAGGUUCCACGUUGACGUGAAAUGAAAAAAUUAGUCUAAUAUUUUGCACACAUGAUGUAAAAAAGUUGUGUAACGUAAGAGCAAUGUGAGGUUCAUUUAAACUGGUCUUGCCUCGGUGAAUAUUGCAACGGGAGUCCUUGAAACGUUGCCUAUCUUCAAAUCUCACUGAAUAGCCGUGCCAAAAAAUUAAAAGCCUCACUGGUGACAGCGGUUCCGUUUCAUGGACAACAACUGGGAUCUGAGACCUAUGUUCAGGACGAGAUCGAUCAUGCGGCGGUUCUCUGGUGAUUGUUCAUAAAAGGAAGAAGAAGAAGACGAUGACGGAGACAACCAAGAGAGACCUCAAGAAGAAAAGAAAAAGGGCUGGGUGCUACCCUAGUGCAUGUCCAUGCACGUGCACAAUGAGUUAAAAAUAGGCAUUCUUUCACAGGCUCUCCACUAUCCUGCGAAACUCCGAACUAUUCUAUUCCCAUAAUAUUCUAUUUCCAUUAUAAGCAAAGCUAAUGGAAAUAGAAUAGUUCGGAGUUUCGCAUGAAGACUACAUGUCUUAUGAUUAGUAAUCAUGAUCAUGAUUUUCCACUCCAGAAUAAUGUCCCUGAUUAUGCAUUGCCCUUUUGACCCUAGACACGUGUUUUUUAGCCAGGAGAACUUGAAUUUGCAUUUAGGGUCAAUCUAAACGGUCCUUUUUUACUUCGGCCGAACUUCCACGGUUAACUGCCAUGAUUGGCAACGAUGGCCAUCGAGCUCUAGGUUAAGUCUAGUGAGGGCUUGGAGAGAUUCGUCGGUGGCCAGGGUCAGCUGGGUCGCCCCCUUUCUCCAGCCGUGUGUGUGAGUCAUUGGACCAUGGUUGAUUAGGUUAAUUACUAGACUAACUGGCCAAAAAUUGUGGUAUCAUGCUCAUGGAUGUGUAGUUGACCAGACGGUCCAAGAAAAAGAAAAAAAUCAGAAUAAUCGGCUUCUCAUCUAGUGCCUUGAGUGAAGGAGUGCUGCCUAUAAUCUUGGUUGUGGAGGGUCCAACGGCAACGUUUAAGAAUUGCUAAUAAUGUCCAGUAAAGUCGCACAUCAAAUGAAAAUUAAGCAAGUGCAAACGUUGAAUUAGUGUCUUUAGAUCAAACGUUGAAUUAGUGUAUUUAGAUCACUCGUUAAUAUACUCACCCACAAAAUGUCAUAUCCCGAUGCAUCAAAAUAACAAAAAUUGUAGCAUGACUUGUCAAAAUCUAACCAAACUGGUUUCGGCAAGUGCAGUUUUAUAUCGAAAAGAUUUACACAUAUAGAACGCAAAGGUAUAUAUGAAAAGACUCUAAUUUUUAUUUUUGCAUGUAAUCUAAAUCAUAUAAUUGAUUCUUUUCGAUAUUAUUUUACUUUCAUGGUUAAUCAAUUUGGGCACUGUAUAUGUGGAGGGAAAGUGGUCAAGUUCGCUUGCACAGAGAAAGAGAGAGAGAGAGAGAGAGAGAGAGGGGGAGGGAGCUAAGUAGUACCGACACGCAACACGGACACGUGAUACGACAUGACACACCAACACAUCAUUUUUCAAAAAUAGAGAAUUCCGACACAUUGUGAUACAAUAUAUAUUAAAUAAAUAUUUUUAUUUUUAAUUAAUUUGAUUCAAUAAAAAAUAAAAAAAGAGCUUAUAAUAAAUUUACACUAAUAAUAUUAAUAAAUCUAUUUAUAGGAAAUUUGAAAGAUAUAUUCAUAGUUAAUACAUACCCAUAUUUGGAGACAUAUUUUUAACUUUAACAAAAAUUAUGGAUAAAAUUAAUGACUAAUAAAAAAAUAAAAUCAAUUUAUUUAAAUAAAUUUAUGAUCUUCUAUAAUGAUCAAAAUUUAUCAUUAUUUACACAUUCAAUAUUUUUAUUUUUCGAAAUCACUUUUUAGCUCAUUUAUUUAUUUUUUUAACAAAAUAGCUUUGCCGCCUAAAAUUAUUUNNNNNNNNNNNNNNNNNNNNNNNNNNNNNNNNNNNNNNNNNNNNNNNNNNNNNNNNNNNNNNNNNNNNNNNNNNNNNNNNNNNNNNNNNNNNNNNNNNNNAAGGGCAGAGCAAUAGAGUAUGUUCAACUGUCUCCAUUUCACGUCAACAGAUGGCAUACAUAGGCUCGGUACGAUUUUCCUCUUCCAUAAAUUCUCCCUUGUUGGGAUAGCAUUUUGACGUGCACUCCAUAAAAAGAUUUUCACUUUUGAGUAAGUCUUUAAAUUCCAUAUGGAUGUCCAUAGUGUUUUCAUAGGCUGAAAUGAGGAUGAGGAUUGCUUUGUAUUUGGUUUACUAGCUACUUCAUGUCUGAGUAAAUUAUAAGCACUUUUCACCGUGUAGCAUCUUGAUUUUGUUCCCAUCCAAAAUAGUUCAUCAUUUGCAUCGUUGAGUUUAAUUGGAAUAGUGAGAAUCUCCUGCUUAGUUUGUUCAUAAAAAAGUUCACUUAUUUUUUGCACAUUCUACCAGUUCUCUUUCGGGCUAAUUAGUUCAACAACCUUUUGUGGGUCAUUUAUAUUCGCUGGACCACCAAUAAUACCCCUUUUCAGCCACCUGGGGGUGCGAAUGGUAAUAUUUAUGUUAUGGAAAAUAAUUUCUUUUCAGAAAUAGUUCUUUUAUAUUUCUACUUCUCAGAACAAUUUCUAAAUAAAAUAAUGUGUUUGGUAACUAUAUAAAAUUUAUAUUCUCAGAAUAGAAAAAGAAUAUAAAUGCAUUUGGUAUGAUCCACAAAAAGAAUAGGAGCGCAUUUGACCACUGCCACACGCUGUUGCCACCCGCAAUCUAUCGGCGAUGGUGGUUUACGGCAAAGGCGGGGGUUGGCAACAGCUGGGCGGCGAUGGCAGGUGGGGGAUGACAGCUCGCAAGGAGUGGCAUUGAAGAAGAAGAAAAGAAAAUGAGAAAAAAAGGACUUAUUUAUAGAAAUUGUUCUCAUGAAUAAGAAGUUCUUUUUUUCUACUUUUUAUUUCUAUUCUAAAUUUAUUCCCGGGCUACUUUUUUAUUCCAGUAAAUAAAGCCGAGAAUAGAAAAAAUAGUCGACAUUAUCAAAUGGAUUUCUAUUAUUUUUUGUUUCGAGGAACAAAAGAACAUAAGAACAUAAGAACAAAAGCGCUCCCAUGCGUUACCCUAUAUGUUCUUAUGUCCACUUUCUCCCCAUUUCCUAUGGACCGCCUGGUUGAGUUCAAGAUUACUUCCCUUUCCAUGAGUAGGAUUUGCCAUCCCAAGAUGGUCUAGCACCUUUCUUUGCAUGCCAAAAAUUCCUCUUGAUGAAAACAUAUGCCUUUGAAAAGCCUGCUUCACAAAGGUUCUGGAUAUUUGAUUAAACGCCAUGCCUGUUUACCAAGCAUAACUUUGUUAAUAGUGAUUAAGUCUCUGAAGCCCAUGCCUCUCUUGUCUUUUCUAGUCUUCAAAAUUUCCUGCUUUUUCCAAUGUAACCCAGUCUUGGAGUCAUUAUUUUUCCACCAAAAUUUUGCAAUUCUCUACUCAAUGGCUUCACAAAUAGAAAUAGGAAUUUUAAAAAUGGACAUUGUAUAUUAUGGCAUAGCUUGAACUACUCUUUUCAACAUAAUUUCUUUUCCUACUUUUGAAACUAGUUAUUCAUUCCAUUCUUCCAAUUUCAUAUCCACUCUCCAAAAUCCAAGCAAACAUUUGCUUCUUUGUGGCUUCCAAUCUGAAAGGAUACCCAAGUACUUCUUUGUGUGGCUAAUUUCCGAAAUUCUUAGUUCCCUUGCUAUAUUGUCCCUCAACAAUUGAGGACACCCCUUACUAAAAUAUAUACCUAAUUUAUUCAGAUUUACAGCUUGCUCAGAAGCAUAACAAUAUUGGUUAAAUAUAGCUGACAAAUUUUGGCAUUCAAACAUUAAUCCAUCUAAAAAGAAGAUAGAAUCAUCCACGAAUAACAAGUGGAAUAAAAUUGGGCAUGAUUUGUUCAGCUUAAUCCUCUUAAUGCUCUCAUUUGCCACUACAUUGUUUACUAAGGAAGAUAGACAAUUGCCACAAGAAUAAAGAGGUAUGGUGAUAGGGGAUCACCUUACCUGAUGCCUCUCGUUGGUUUAGAGAAAGGAAAUGGCUCUCCAUUUAACUCUACACUCAAAGAAAUUGUAGCUAAACAUCGCGUGACCCAUCUAAAUCAUUUUUUGGAAAAGCCCAUUUUCAACAUUCAAGUUUCAAGAAAGUCCCACUCCACUUUAUCAUAUGCUUUUUGCCUAUCUAGUUUAAGGACAGCUUGAAACUUUUUCUUCAUAUUUCGCACCCUUGAUUGAUGUAGGACUUUUUGUACAACAAGGAUAUUGUCUUGAAUCUAUCUACUGCUCACGAAUGCACUUUGUUCCUCAAAUAUCAACUUAGGUUGCCAAGGCUUUAAUCUAUUAGCCAUAGUCUUAGAGAUGAUUUUAUACACGAAAUUGCAAAGACUACUAGGGCGAAACUAAUUGAGUUUUUCUGGGUUUAAUAUUUUGGUACCGAUGAAAUAUAGGUUCUAUUUAAAGCUAGUUCCAUAAUGCCGGAUGAGAAAAAAAUUCUCAACAGCCACAAAAACAUCAUGUUUAAUAAUAUUCCAGUGAAACUGAAAGAACAUACCAUUUAAACCAUCAGGACCUGGGGCUUUAGUCACUCCAAGUUGGAAAACCGCUAUUUGGAUCUCCUCCAUUAUGACAUCAGCUACUAGGAGAUCAUUCAAUUCAGCUCACACCGUUCAGGGGCAUGAAUCCAGUACUGGAGUUAUAUUCUUGGGCCAACCGAUGUGUAGAGGUCCCGGAUUUUUUUUUUUUUUUUUGGUAUUUAGAAUUUGGGCACAAAAAUUGAGGGUUUAUUAUGGAGAUUCCACCAUUAUUUUGGAAUACUGGGAAAAGAACAAGAGUCGCAUGAGUACUCUGUGGGACUUGACUGUAAGGGAAAUUAUUGGGAUUUUGGAAACUAGGGAGGAAGGAUUAAAAUUAGGGUUUGCUACCUCAAAAGGUAGGGAGAAAAGCUCUACUGAGAGAGUGGAGUGACUAGUAGUUAGCCGAGUUGCUCAGGAGCCUGUUCGUCUUCCCUAAUUGUUUUAGCUAUUCUCAUCACUCCAGGGGACAACGACACUCGUACGUGUGUGGCAGAUGAUGGCAGAUCGGACUGUAGGAAGAAGAGGCGGGGGGAGGUUCUAGAAUGGCCAUUUGAAGUCUCCACAAAACGGGGGAACCCCAAUUUGGCCUUUUAUUUUCUUGUUCCUACUUGCCAACUGGUGCCAUAUACUAGGGAAAAACUCCGAUUUUUUUUUUUUAAAUCACUAGUAGUUCUCUCGCCACGUUCUAAAAUUUACAGAGCAGGGUGAAAACAAUAUCAGAAGAUUCUUUCUUGUGACUUUUAGGAGUUGGCACCUUUUAGCUAAUGUGCAACUACAACUCCAUCACAUUUUGCAUUUUCCAAUAACCAGAAAUAGCCAUGAAGUCAAAAUCGAAGGAGAAAAAGACAGUCUAUAUCUAUAUCUGUAUAUUUAUUUUCGUUAAGUAGAAGGUAUUUCUUGUUGAACUUGUCGUCAUUAACUGUACAAACCAAUAUUUUUAGGAAAAUUGAUCUUUGAUGAAUAAGCUAUGAUUUUAAGAGGAAAAGAAGAGAUGAUGAAGCCAAAACCCAAGUGAAAAAGCCUUCGUAGAAUAAGCCUUCGUAUAAAAAGUUCAUUUCGGAUCAGAAUGGACAAUAAUGACAAAGCCAAAAAAGAAGAUGAAAACAUUGAUUGUUCUCAAGCCAGACUAUAUCUAUUUUACCAUAAACUCAAAGGAUUCUUCAUCCAUUUCCUAGACAGCAAUAUUUACACUUUUCUUCAUGCAAGUUAUCUGCACAAUCUCCAUUAGGCCGAGAUAAGAGCCAGCUAAGCGGCCAGUGGAGCCGUGAUGUACUGGGUUGCAUUAGCUUCUGAUAGGGCCGUUAUGAACGGCUUGGCCUUGCCCUCAGCUGCUGCUCGAGGGCAGUUCUUGGAGAUCCUUUCACACUUAGACAUAUACGACAUUCUACAUGGAUCAUACAUGCAUAAACCCCUUGUUGGUAAAAAAAGGUAGAAAACCUUCAUGUGAAUUCAGGAAAAUGUACGAAAAAUGAAAGGUUUUAUUAGGAAAAAAGGGGUUUAUCCCUCGAGACACUAAUUAAGCUAAUCAAAAAGAAAGAGAAAAAAACAGAAAGAAAACAUACAUCAAGACAAUUUCAAAAUCACAAAUCUACAUAAUCGAGGUGGUCAUUGCUUUUCUUUUGAGUGCUUCAGACAUAUCCCUGCCUGCUCAUGAAAUAGUUGUCUCAAAUUGUGGGGACUCUUUCAUAAAAAAAAAAAAUGGUAAUGUAUGAAGAACUCGUGAAAGGAUGAAGAUUUCUGGAUAGUUUGGUUAAUAAAGAAGUGUCGAUUCUAGAAAUAGUAUUAUCCAGGAGCAUUACAUAUGAAAAUCUUCAAUUAAGGUGUGCAAGGGAGCAAACACUCGUUGAAAUGGAUCGGAAGAUGAUGAUGUCGGUUGUUUGUCCUUGAAGUGAGGAGCUUCAAUUGUUCCUGCUCCAAAUGGUUGCGCCUAAUCAAUUGUCUCUCUGGGAUUCCAGACUCUGCUUAAGAUGGGCAUUCGAGGCAUUACUGUUUCAGGUGUUCGGGGUUUUGGUUCUCAGGGAGGCUCUACGGACAAGCAGGCUAGUAAGCUUCUUGUGCUGUUGAAUACUAAACCUUUCUUUUCUUUUUAAAGUAUACUAUGUUUAGCAAAAAAUGUGGGCUAUGUCAUAUAUGUGUGAUUUGGAUAGAGGAUUAAAUAUGUCAUCGAGUUAUGCUUUUACUGUUAUAUCUUUGCUGGUUCGAUUGCACAGGCUCUGAAUUUUCUGAAGAUGAGUUUCUAGCUAAAGCCAAGAUGGAGAUUGUGGUGAGCAAGGAGCGGGUAUUGUAUUACCAGCCAUUAAGUUGCUUUUUUACUUAUCUUCCCGGGAUGUGUAUAUUUUGCAUUUUUCUAGUAUGCUGAAUUAACUUAGGUUUCUAAUGGUGUGAUCUAAUCAGUUCCAUGAUUUACUCUUCCUUAGGUCGAAGCAGUAAUUGACAAGAUAAUCGAGGAGGCAAAAACAUGAGAGAUUUGUUAAAGGACAUGAAGUCAGGAAGUAUGCUGAGUCAACGAAGGCAGCAACGAAUGCUACUGAUUCAAUCAGAGUUAAAGACAAUAAGUUUAGUUCAGCUGAUAUGAAAAAAGACAAGCAAAAUAAAGUCAGCACGUGCUCAUUGAAGAAUCAAUAUUUUGUUUUGAGUUGUAACCAACAUUCUUUUUGUUAGUAUUUAUGUUAAGUCUGUUUUGAUAGUUUGUUUUUAGUCGAGCCUUUUACACUUUGUAAUAUAAAUAGAGAGUUGAAAGAAGAACAUAAAGAUAAGGCUCUCAGAUAUACUUUUCUUUGAUCUUGAAUGAAUACAGAGACUCCAUAGUUUUCUCUCAUCUAUGUUCUUUCUUCUCUGCUUCUUCAUCUCUGUUAUCUUCGUUUUCGUCUCUGCUUUCUUCUUGUCUUUCACAUGGUAUCAGAGCCAUUCCUGAGAGCAUAUAUCAUCUCAAAUGUCGAAAGUCACAACAGAUUGAAGAUUCAUUCAAGUUGAUAGUAAGAUCAAGAGUUUGUCGUGCAAAUACAACAUAGAUUUGUUCUCUGCACACCAUCCAGAGUUGAAAGUGCGAGAUGGCAGCAAGAACUCAAAAAUAUCAUUUCCCAAUCCAUGUUAACAUCUCUAACUUCGUUAUUAUCAAGCUAGCUGAAGAUAAAUUUCUUUUCUAGCAAGCACAAUUCCAUAGAUUCUUGUGCAGCCAGGAGCUAUUUGGAUUCGUCAAUGGAGAAAUCCCAUCACCUGCAUAGUUGUUACAGGUUGAAGUCGAAGGGAAUGUUACAGAAGCUAUAAAUCCUUACUACAAUGAUUGGGUCAAAAUAGAUCAGCUUGUAUCAUCUUGGAUCAGUGGAGCCGUUUCAAAAAAUAUAUUAAGUAUGAUAAUUGGCUUGGAUACUGCAUAUGAGGUAUGGAAAACUUUACUCAAUCGAUUCAUGCAAAAAUCUGUAGCUAUAGAGUUCGAGUUGAGAGGAAAGCUGCAAGCGUGUCAAAAGCGAGAUCGAGUACUGUUAGUUUAUCUCAGAGAGUAUAAAUCAAUAUGUGAUCAACUCAACGCAAUAGGAAAUCCCAUAGAUGAGAUAACAAAGCUGUUUGGGGUUCUAGAGGGAUUAGGAUCUAAAUAUGAGAACUUUAAAACCACUAUAUACCGCUUGAAACCUCAACUAAAGUAUGCCGAAGUAAUAUCACAGCUAGAAAGGUUUGAAGCAAGACUACAAAGUUACUCAUCAAGUCAAUACAACCCUAAUCUAGCAUAUUAUGGUCAAAGAAAAAUUGAAGUUCAGCAAAAGGAAGAACUUGACAGAGAAACUAUUCAGCAAAACUCUGGCUUUGGAGGUUCAAGGGUUAAUAGUCGUGGAGGACGCAGCUAUGGAAGAGGACGAUUUUUCAGUAAUAGAGGUCGUGGUUAUAGAUAUCCUGAAAGAGAUUUGAGCUACAGAUCAAAUAACUUCAACUAUGCACAGGUAGGGGUGUGCAAAAUACCCGGGAACCGCCCGAAACCGGACCGGAACCGCCCAGAACCGGCGAUUCUUGAGGGAAUCGGUCCGGUUCCCGGUUCCAAUUUUUCGGAAUUGGUGGGUACCGGUCCGGUUCCCAGUUCCAUGGGUGGAUCCAUCCACCCGGACCAGACCGGAACCUUUUUAAUAUUAAAAAAAAAUUACUAAAAGAAACCCUAUAUUAGAUCUCAUCUCCUCACUCCCUUCGUCUUCGGUUCUCUCUCCUUUUGUAUCUUCCUCGGUUCCUCCUAAUCCUUCCCGAGUGUCGACGCCGCCGCCGUUGCUCCUCCGCCGCUGUUGUUUGCCCCCUCGCGUCGGCCACCACCCGCCACAGCCGCGGAAAAUUGUUUCGCGAUCGUUCUAUGUUGAAAACCCGAUCAUAGACCUCCUCCUCUCCUUCCCAACUCAUAGACCUGACCGUUUUAUGUUGAAAACCAAAAUUGUUUAGUGUCAAGAUCGGUUCCAUGGAUCCACCCCAGAACUGGACCGGACCGGCGAUCCGAUUCCCGGGUGGAUCCAUGCAACAAAUGGGUGGAUCCCGGUUCUAAUUUUUCGGAACCGGUCCUUAGCGAGCGGUUCCCGGUUCUAGGCCGGGAACCGCCCGCCUGGACUAUGCACACCCCUAUGCAUAGGAGGGUCAGAGAUUUAAGCAAUUCAAUAAUAUAUCUGGCUUUGGUUUUAAUUAAGGAUUUCGUCCUUAAGCUGGCUCUUCACAAAGAUAUCAAGAAACCAUAUCAUAUCCCUCUUCAAAUCUAACAUUUUCCAAAGAUUUGCAGGUUGAGAAAUCAACUGACAAUAUUAGAUUGGAGUGUCAAAUUUGUAAACGCCUAGGACAUGGUGCACUUCACUGCUGGUAUCGCUUUGACAAUUCAUAUCAAGCUGAGGAAAUUCCAACAGCAUUAGCAGCAAUGCACCUCGAAGACUCAAAAGGAAAUGAAUGGUAUCCAGACACUAGUGCGACUGCUCACAUCACUGCAAACUCUGGUAUUCUUCAUAACCUUUCUAGAUACAAUGGCACUGAUACAGUUAUGAUUGGGAAUAGUUCAUGUCUACCUAUUACCUAUACUGGUAAUGCAUUGUUACAUGCUAAAGUGGAUUCAUUACCUCUGAAUGAUGUAUUAAUUGUUCCUGAUAUAAAGAAGAAUCUUCUAUCAGUAUCAAAACUAACAGAUGACUAUCUAUGUUCAUUUGUUUUUGAUAAAACUAGUGUAUAUGUAAAGGACAAUUACACCAAUACAACUAUGUUUCUCGUGAGGAAAGUUAAAGGAUUGUAUCGAGUAGAUCCUCAAACCAUAGAGGCAUCCUUAACUCAGAGACACAAAGCAGUAGGAGAGGAUAUAUAGCAUCAGCGUUUAGCACAUACCAACCUGAAAACACUUAAGUACCUGCAGAAUCAACAACUGAUUCACUGCAAUACCAGAGUACAGACUAUGUGUAGAAGCUGUCAAGUUGCUAAGAAUACUGCUCUGCCCUUUCCAUUAUCAGAGUCUGUAGCAUCUAUACCUUUAGAAAAGGUUCACCAUGAUAUAUGGGGUCCUUCACCAGUUAGUUCCUUUCAAAACUUCAAGUAUUAUGUCAUCUUUGUAGACAAUUUCUCUCGGUUUAGUUGGAUCUAUCCAAUGAGAUUGAUAUCAAAUUUCUAUGACAUCUUUGCUAUGUUCCAAAAACAAGUAGAAAAUCAAUUUGAUUGCAAAAUCAAGAUUUUUCAAUGUGAUGGUGGAGGAGAAUUCAUCAGCCACAAGUUUCAAACUCAUUUACAGAGUUGUGGCAUUAAACAAUAUGUAUCAUGUCCUUAUACACCAGAACAUAAUGGUGUCUUUGAAAGAAAACAUCGCCAUGUUGUUGAACUGGGUCUUGCCAUGCUCUAUCAUGCUAGAAUCCCUUUGAAAUACUGGGUUGAUGCAUUCAUGAUAGCUAACUAUAUUAUCAAUAUACUUCUUACACCAAAGUUACAAAUGCAAUCACCCUAUAGUAAACUGUAUCAGCAAGAACCAAGCUAUGAUCAUCUCAGAGUCUUUGGCUGUGCAUGUUAUCCUUGUCUUAAACCAUAUGCACAUCACAAACUUGAUCCACGAUCACUCACAUGUGUGUUUAUUGGAUACAGUGAACGUCAUAAGGGAUAUAGAUGUCUUAUUCCUACCACUGGUCGUAUAUACAUUAGUCGACAUGUCAUGUUCGACGAAAACUUCUUGCCAUUUACUAAGACAUGUGUAACAGAGUACACACCAUUUACAACACUGUAUCAACUAUGGACAAAGGAGGUUAAACUUCUAGACUCAAUGAGUGAAGGUCCAGUGUCUCCUUCUUCACAGAUAUAUGCAGCACAUUUGCAGGAUAAUGGAAUCAUGACCACAGAUAAUUGCCAUUCUCUUCAGUCAGCCACAAUGCCAUGUACUUCCUUUCCAUCACAUAUGCAAAUUGUGGCACAAGACAAUCUUGCUUCCAUAGCAACAACACAAGAUGAAACCUAUACUAAUCAAGCUCAUUCAUCUUCACAAGAUCAGGUAGUACCUGAUUCUGAAGCUGCAACAUCCAAUGAAAUAAGUGUUGACCAAGCUCAUUCAAACUAUCACUCUGACUCACAUGGUACAGCUUCAACUCAUCCCAUGCGGACUUGAUCAAAAUCUAGCAUUAUAAAGAUAAAUCCCAGAUAUGCAUGUCUUACUAAAUAUAAAGUACCUCCUGAACCAAAAUCAGUUAAAGUAGCUUUAGCAGAUAAAGGAUGGUAUACAGCUAUGAAGGAAGAAAUGGAUGCUCUGUAUCAAAAUCAAACUUGGCUAUUAGUUCCUCGAACUAAUCAAAUGAAUAUGAUAGGGUGCAAAUGGGUGUUUAAAACAAAACUUGCACCUGAUGGAAGUCUUGAUAGGUUGAAGGCUCGGUUAGUGGCUAAAGGGUUUCAUCAAGAGGAAGGCGUAGAUUUUACAGAAACCUUAAGCCCUGUUGUCAAACAUGCUACAAUUCGAAUAGUGCUUUUUGUAGCAAUGAUGAAACAACGGCCAAUUCAUCAACUUGAUGUUAAAAAUGCAUUUUUACAUGGCACAUUGAAUGAAACAGUCUAUAUGGAGCAGCCUCAUGGCUUCAUACAACCACAGAAACCUCAACAUGUGUGUCUUCUCAAGAAAUCUCUCUAUGGCCUUCGACAAGCACCCCGUGCAUGGUUUGAUAAAUUCAGUAAUUUUCUACUUGAAUUUGGAUUUUUCUGUAGUACGACUGAUCCAUCCUUGUUUAUACUCCAUGCUGGAUCAAACACAUUCUUCUGUUACUCUAUGUUGAUAAUAUUGUCUUAAUUGGUAGCUCAGACCAGUUACUUUCUAAACUGAUUCAUUCUCUCAGCCUUCAAUUUCAUAUGAAAGAUCUUAGCUACCUUCACUAUUUUCUUGGCAUUGAAGCUAAGCGUACUUCUACUGAUUUGUUUCUCUGUCAAACCAAAUAUGCUCUUGAUCUUCUUACUCAAGCUCACAUGGUUGAUUGUAAACCAAUUUCCACUCUUCUGUCACAAAGACCAGCUAUCCUAAAAACUGAUGCCAUUCCACUAUCCAAUCCUCUUGAAUAUAGAAGUCUAGUUGGUGGUCUUCAAUUCUUGACAUUAACUUGUCUUGACAUUGCAUAUGCCGCAAACUUGUUAUGUCAGAAAAUACAGAAGCCCACUGUUGCAAAUUUUCAUAAGCUAAAAAGGGUUUUGCGCUAUGUGAAAGGAACUAUUCAUCUUGGGGUGUUCCUUCAUUCUCAAAGUUCUAUGACUCUUUAUGGCUUCUUAGAUGCUGACUGGGUUGGCUGCACUGAAACAAGACAAUCCACUACUAGUUUUUGCACAUAUCUUGGUUCUAAUCUCAUUUCUUGGGCAGCAAAGAAGCAACCUACAGUUAGUCGCUCUUCUACAGAAGCAGAAUAUCGUGCUCUUGCAUCUACUAUUGUUGAUCUUACAUAGAUCAGCUUUGUCCUUCGUGACAUUGGUCUCUCUCUUUCUUCUCCAACCCUUUUAUUCUGUGAUAAUCAGCCAUCUCACUUACUGCAAACCCCAUCUUACAUGCUCGUACUAAACACAUUGAAGUUGAUUUUCAUUUUGUACACGAGAAGGUUUCCUCAGGAUCUCUCAGUGUGCGCUAUGUUCCAAGCAAUUGUCAGCUUGUUGAUAUUUUUACAAAAUAUUUGUCGCAACUGGCACAUUUGGUAUUAGAAUCAAAUUGGGUAUGGGUUCUUUACCCCUUCCCAAUUUGCAGGGGAUGUUAAAGGACAUGAAGUCAGGAAGUAUGUUGAGUCAACGAAGGCAUCAACGAAUGCUACUGAUUCAAUCAGAGUUAAAGACAAUAAGUUAAAUUAUGCUGAUAUGAACAAAGACAAGCAAAAUAAAGUCAGCACGUGCUCAUUGAAGAAUCAAUAUUCUGUUUUGAGUUGUAACCAACAUUCUUUCUGUUAGUAUUUCUGUUAAGUCUGUUUUGAUAGUUUGUUUUUAGUCGAGCCUUUUACACUUUAUAAUAUAAAUAGAGAGUUGAAAGAAGAACAGAAAGAUAAGGCUCUUAGAUAUACUUUUCUUUGAUCUUGAAUGAAUACAAAGACUCCAUAGUUUUCUCUCAUCUCUGUUCUUUCUUCUCUGCUUCUUCAUCUCUGUUAUCUUCGUUUUCGUCUCUGCUUUCUUCUUGUCUUUCACAAGAUUGGGGACGGCACAAUUUUCUGUACGCCUUCCCAUUUGUUUAUCUAAUAUGCGUAAAUUGUCUUGAUGUGAUCCCCGAUGCUUUGGCUAUUCUUAUCAUUCUCAUAGUCUUUUUGGGUGGCGAUCCAUAGAUGUCACCAUUUUAUUAUAUGAUACAUGCCAUCGGCACAGUAAAGAGAACAUGGAGUUUGUGUGAUUACAUGCCUAUACCGGCAUUUCAAAUGAUGGAGAAAAUCUUUUAUACCAGAUUCUUGAUCUCAUCUAAGUUCUGAAUUUUCAGCAAAUGUCAAAUUUAGUGGGAAGCUACUUCUCAUAUAACAUGAGCAAACUAAGUUGUAAUAAUUUCAUUCUGAAGAUUUAUUUAUUUUUCUUUAUCUUCAUCAAGUUAAGACAGGCGUGCUCACAUAUGGAUAAAGGAAGAGAUAGGAUAGUUCAAGGAAUAAACACAAAUUUUUAUGGGAUAAUGAUAGUUUCACUAGUUUAUGAAAACAAUAGUUGAAGGAGGUGUUGGUGAGGGAGCUAUGUGGUUUUUAUGGUUAGCUCCCACCCAAAACAUGGAGCACUUGCUCCUUUAUAUAAGCUGCCAAAGUCGGUGGAGGAAGACUCUAGACUUCUCUACAAAUAGCUACUAUUAUUUUAUAGUAACAUAAGAUGGAGUGUUCUAGAACACUCAAGAGAUGGCAGCUUGUUGGUUGUCUUUUCAUUGUUUGUUUCUCACGUCCACUAGAGUUGUCUAGAUUGGACUAGAGAAUUCCAUGUCAAAAAUUGGAUCACAAAUUCCAACAAUAUGGUUAUGAUUUUACACUGAGAUACAGGAAUUUGGAAAACCUACACUUACCAAAUAAUUUUGCCAAAUGACACCAUAUUAAGAACAAGCUCUUAUUAUCUUUUCAAAAUCAUCAGUAGUUCACUGGGUACAUGUGUAACUUUAUAAAAUAGAGUGAGAUUGGGUUAAAUCUGCAAACUCUUUAGGAUUUGUUUUUAGCUAUGUUGAUCAGGAGGUUGUAUGCAUGGAUACUAACAUAAAGGUGGGCAGCAUGAAAAUCCUCUCUUUGCCUUUCGGGAAGCAGUGCCUUUUGCUAAAGUGCAUGUCAGAGGUUUUACCGUGCAAUUGCUUAUGUGCACCGCACCCUUUGAUAAAGUUGUAUUGGUUAUCCCUUUCCUUCCUUUUUGUUUCUCUAGGACUUUUUCAGUGUCAGUUUUCUGUUGAUUGAUCAAUGUUACCAUAUAAUUAGCUUCUAAAGGGGUCGAUAUUCUUCAGUCAUUCUUCUUCAUAUUGUGUAUGUAAUUGCUAUACAUCAACAGGUUACUUUGUUUUGUUUAGUGAAAGUAUGUAGUCAUGUGGAGAGGUGUUUGACGAUUAUAGCAUUCUUAAUUAAAGAGAACCGUCUUUUGCUGGACUUUGCAGUGGUGCCCAUCUCAGAUGUAAUAAGGGUUCGCACAGGUAAUAUGUCAAUUGCCUAGUGACUUAAUGAAGAACGUAUGCUAUCUGCUUGUUCCAGAAACACCCUAACAAAGCUGAUGUUCAGUUAAGCGUGGAGACAAGGGCGAGAGGAUGAGCGGAGGCCGGGCCAACAUGUUCUCGACUUCCUAACAUCUACAGGUUGUCGAUGCUUCAGCAAAGCUCUAGUUAGCAUCCAUUACCCGAUUCACUCCCUGUAAAAGUUUCUGAAACUUUUAUCUGUGUUUGAAGAGUUUAUUGUCAACACCAGUCGUGUCUGAGUCAUGGGACCAUGGUUGAUUAGGUUCAUUAGACGGUCCAAGAGGAAGAAAUGGGUCCAAAUAACUGGCUUCUUAUGCGGUGCCUUGUCUGAAGGAGUGCUGUCAUUUACCUUGGCUGCUGAGGGCCAUGCGGCAUCA